GAUAGUCGGUCAAGAGGAGCGGCAGGUCCGCAUU
This 34-nucleotide small RNA is filed under the name Sinorhizobium meliloti 2011. Its description in RNAcentral is "putative ncRNA". Lineage: Bacteria; Pseudomonadati; Pseudomonadota; Alphaproteobacteria; Hyphomicrobiales; Rhizobiaceae. The record is from RNAcentral.